ACAGUGUUCAAAUGUCAUGGAGAUUUUAUUGGAGAUAUGUAAUUGUUUAUUACAGGUAAAGGUAAUGCAGCAACUUUCCAAGGUUCCAACAAAUUUUGUGUACAGAAAUGGCAAAUGAAUAACUGAAUUAAGACUUUUAGGUCUCAAUAACACAGCAAGGGCAAUGCAAUUUUAAGUCUGGACAUGUUAUGAUACACAGAAAAAUUCAAAAAUAAAUUUGCCAAUGUGAACAUAAUGGACAAUCUUCUGAGUUCUGCAUUAAAGGAAAUCAAUUACCAAAGCCCAGGCAGGAUAAACAAACAGAAGGAUUAUGCCAAUGGAAUUUGAUAUGCCGUGAGCUUUUGUAAAUGAGUUUCUGAACCCACCAGAUGUCCGGAUAUGUUCUUGAAGCAAAUAACAAGCAAUGACAAGGCAUAUUACCACACCUACCCAGCUACUCCUUAACGUGCUUGCAAACAAACUGGGAGCCACUACUAUCAGAAGAAUCAGAGCACCUGGCAUUUCCAGCCAAUCUGGGAAACGUCUUGGGAAGAAAAGCCGCAAUAUAACAGCAACAAAAGCAAUCCAUUUUCCAACCUCUCCCCUGAAAAAGCUGAACAGUAUUGAAGGAAGACUAAAGAAAAUGUAAGGGAUUAAUAAGCUAGUAAGUAUGUCUGUUCUCCAGUUUGUUCGAUCCAAGAUCAACAAAUAAAUUGCAGCAAAAGAAGCAAGCCAUUCAAGAAAAGAGGUCCCAAAACCCAACCCACCAAGCUUGAUGGCGUGAUUGGCUAGCUUCUUAGCAGCCUCGGACAAGUCUUUGAUAUCUGAAACAAUCGAGUCACUGGUUUCUUGAUCUGUCCUCAUUGCCAGGUAGCUUUUCUUUCCCAUUUUCUCAACGCUCAAAUUCAAGAAGAAAACAACUCCAGUUUUAGACAGGAAAUCCAACCAGAAGAGCUAAACGAGAGAGAGAGAAUUAUACUUGACUAUCAGAUUCUUACAAGCUGAAGUGCUACGUCGAUGCUUACAAUUAUUGUCGGAGCUCUACUGUAAGAUUG
This 1034-nucleotide unclassified non-coding RNA is filed under the name Hevea brasiliensis (rubber tree). Lineage: Eukaryota; Viridiplantae; Streptophyta; Magnoliopsida; Malpighiales; Euphorbiaceae. The record is from RNAcentral.